UUGGGAGUGGAGCUCACCUUUCUUUUUCCUUCUAUUUAUAUUCCAAGCAUUUAGCAUGACACACACACACACACACACACACACACACACACACACACACACACACACACACACACACACACACACAGAGUUAAUACUGCACGUCAGCGAUGAUAUACUUGGAGAUUUUCCUGCUAUGGCAUCUUCCGUCUUCUUUCCAAGGUUCACGAGGGGAGUAAGGACAGAGAGCCAGGAAGGCAGUUCCUCCUUCCCCUUUUGGAAGGGCAGAGGGUGAGAGAAGCGUUGUUUCCCUCUCCCGCAGGUCACUUUGGGCUCUUUCUUGCCCACUCUUCCACCCUGCUUCCCAGCAGCGCUUUUCUGAUCAGUUGGCAAACAGAAUAAUUCAAAGUCAAAGGCAGUUAAGGCUUUCAGUCUUGGGUGGACCCCAGGGUGUCCGAAGCCCUUUCCAGCCCUCCUACUCUGUGAUGCUGAGCUAAGAGAGACCAGUGUUCUGAGGACUUCCUGAUCCCAGCAUUUCUAGGAGAUGGGAGGGGAGGUGCAAAGGAAGAGGCUUUCUGAAGCCCGUCGGCCCAGUCCAUCUCAGAAUGACCUUUCUUCCUUCCAGGCUUUUGCUGGUUCAGUCCCUGGGAGCCCCACAGCACCAGGACAAUCUGGGGGAGACCUGGGCACUGCCCUCUGUUCCCUGGUUACCCCUGCCUCCCAUCCCCUUUUCUUCCAGCAUCACUUACCUUCUGCCCUGACACAGUCCUGCUCCAGCCUGGCCCUUGCCCCGGCCCUGGGUGCUCUGACUGCAGCAGGCAUCAGACUAACUCAGAGCAGAGCACCCAGGGAGAACUUUUUACCUCUUAAAAAAAUUUUUGUUUGUUUUAGGAAAUAGAAUGGCUCUGAUUGAUACCAGUGCCAGGCCACUGUUCUUUCUGUCCCUGACAGUCUCUCUGAUGAGGUCUGAGAGGUUUGGGACCCCUCAAAGACCGAAGUACAAGAUGGGGUCGUCUGAAAUGAAUUCACAAACUCAAGCAAUCUUUAAGUCAAGAUGCAAAAAGCUUAUUAUUAUGCUUUUCAGCGGGCAAGGAUUCUUAAGGAACCUGCAAUUUUAAAAGAGUAUAGCUAAAGUUUAUAUAGUAUAAAAUAUAAGCCGAGUGUCAAAUAUGCUAACUAGGUGAUUCAGGGCGGGAUUAGGGAGUGGUUAAGGAGUGGUCAGUUCUUAAAGAAACAUGCACUUAUAUCUACUGCGAAGGCAUUGUACCCGGAGUUCACUGGGAAAAGCCCACAAGGGGGGCCACAUGGAGGUGUGGUUUUAGGCCUGCUAUAUCACUAAGCUAACUAGCGGUCAGGGACAACUGAGAGUUGUCCAGUCUGCCACCAAUCAAUGUCUUGUUUGACAAGAUAGAUGUGGGGAGUAUACAUAUGUCUUAAGUCUAGAAUACAGAUAAUGAGGAGUCCAGCAUGUAGAUAAUGAGGUAGGGUGGUAGUAUAGAUAGUCCAGUGGCUAAGAAUGUCUUUAUGACCUGGUGCAAAGCCAGUUCAAACUAAUAAUUCCUUCAGGUGUUGUUUGGAACUGCACCAGGGAGAGAUAAGGGGCUUGUUGGGGCCCACUCAUGAGUAAUUGCUAGGCACAGUGUCCUUGAGCUGGGAGAAACUGUCAGGGACACCACUCUGUUAAGAGUCAAGUUACAGACUGGUUGACCAGACGAAUAGUGUUUCUGAGGCUAGGGAGAAAUUGGGGUCCAAGUACAAGCACCCAAACAUAAGCACCCAAGCAUCCCAUCAUCUCCUCUCUGUCUCUCUGAGUCUGUAUGUCUGUCUGUCUCUCCCCCCUUCUCAUCCUCUCCUCCUCCUUCUCUUCAGAAGUAUCUCCAUUGGCACAUCUCUAAUUA
RNAcentral lists this long non-coding RNA (1877 nucleotides) under Phascolarctos cinereus (koala). RNAcentral describes it as "lncRNA (ENSPCIG00000037464.1)". The record is from RNAcentral. Lineage: Eukaryota; Metazoa; Chordata; Mammalia; Diprotodontia; Phascolarctidae.